Molecule: non-coding RNA, 24 nt
Filed under: Arabidopsis thaliana (thale cress)
Lineage: Eukaryota; Viridiplantae; Streptophyta; Magnoliopsida; Brassicales; Brassicaceae
Source: RNAcentral
UGAUCAGGCCAAAAUCUACACGAC